AGUUUUUUGAAUUUAUAGUAGAUUUUUUUUGCCCGGGGGUUUUUUUUACGGCCGCGGUAUUUUUGCCGGGCAAAGGUAGCAUAAUCAUUUUUCUUUUAAUUUGGGGCUGGGAUGAAAGGGGUGGCGUAGGGUUAGUUGUCUCUUUUUUUUUUUUUGAAUUUUCUUUUUUGAUGAAGAGGUCUAUAUAAUAAAAUAAGACGAGAAGACCCUAUUGAUCUUUAUUUUUUUGAAUUAAUUAAAUUUUUUUUUAUUUUUUUUUUAUUUUUUAUGGAUUUGGUUGGGGCAACUGGGGAGGAUAAAAAUUCUCUUUUUUUAUAUUUAGAUCCGGUAUUCCCGAUAUGAAGACUGAGUUACCAUAGGGAUAACAGCGUAAUUUCUCUGGAGAGUUCCUAUCGAUAGGGAAGAUUGC
This 409-nucleotide ribosomal RNA is filed under the name Tubulanidae sp. 14DS. RNAcentral's name for it is "partial 16S ribosomal RNA". The record is from RNAcentral. Lineage: Eukaryota; Metazoa; Nemertea; Palaeonemertea; Tubulaniformes; Tubulanidae.